GAUGAAGAACGUAGUGAAAUGCGAUAAAUAAUGUGAAUUGCAGAAUUCAGUGAAUCAUCGAGUCUUUGAACGCACAUUGCGCCCCCUGGUAUUCCGGGGGGCAUGCCUGUCCGAGCGUCAUUGCUGCCCUCAAGCACGGCUUGUGUGUUGGGCCCCCGUCCCCCCCUCCCGGGGGACGGGCCCGAAAGGCAGCGGCGGCACCGCGUCCGGUCCUCGAGCGUAUGGGGCUUUGUCACCCGCUCUGUAGGCCCGGCCGGCGCCUGCCGACCACCAUCAAUCUUUUUUCAGGUUGACCUCGGAUCAGGUAGGGAUACCCGCUGAACUUAAGCAUAUCAAAAGCGGAGGA
Molecule: unclassified non-coding RNA, 346 nt
Filed under: soil metagenome
Description: partial contains 5.8S ribosomal RNA, internal transcribed spacer 2, and large subunit ribosomal RNA
Rfam family: 5.8S ribosomal RNA (bases 1-120)
Source: RNAcentral